RNAcentral lists this ribosomal RNA (500 nucleotides) under uncultured bacterium. RNAcentral's name for it is "partial 16S ribosomal RNA". It matches the Rfam family "Bacterial small subunit ribosomal RNA", at positions 30 to 523 of the family's 1533-position model. The record is from RNAcentral.
AUUGAACGCUGGCGGCAUGCCUUACACAUGCAAGUCGAACGGCAGCACGGGAGCAAUCCUGGUGGCGAGUGGCGAACGGGUGAGUAAUAUAUCGGAACGUGCCCAGUCGUGGGGGAUAACGUAGCGAAAGCUACGCUAAUACCGCAUACGAUCUAUGGAUGAAAGCGGGGGAUCGCAAGACCUCGCGCGAUUGGAGCGGCCGAUAUCAGAUUAGGUAGUUGGUGAGGUAAAGGCUCACCAAGCCGACGAUCUGUAGCUGGUCUGAGAGGACGACCAGCCACACUGGGACUGAGACACGGCCCAGACUCCGACGGGAGGCAGCAGUGGGGAAUUUUGGNCNNUGGGCGCAAGCCUGAUCCAGCAAUGCCGCGUGCAGGAUGAAGGCCUUCGGGUUGUAAACUGCUUUUGUACGGAACGAAACGGCGAGCUCUAAUACANUUUGCUAAUGACGGUACCGUAAGAAUAAGCACCGGCUAACUACGUGCCAGCCGCCGCAGUAA